UAGAUCUUGAACGAGGAAUUCCUAGUAAGUGCAAGUCAUCAUCUUGCAGAGAAAAUGUCCCUGCCCUUUGUACACACCGCCCGUCGCUCCUACCGAUACCGGGUGAUCCGGUGAACCUUUUGGACCUCGCAAGAGGAAAAAUAAGUAAACCAAUCACCUAGAGGAAGGAGAAGUCG
Molecule: ribosomal RNA, 176 nt
Filed under: uncultured rumen protozoa
Lineage: Eukaryota
Description: partial 18S ribosomal RNA
Rfam family: Eukaryotic small subunit ribosomal RNA
Source: RNAcentral